RNAcentral lists this ribosomal RNA (497 nucleotides) under uncultured bacterium. RNAcentral's name for it is "partial 16S ribosomal RNA". It matches the Rfam family "Bacterial small subunit ribosomal RNA", at positions 28 to 507 of the family's 1533-position model. The record is from RNAcentral.
GACGAACGCUGGCGGCGUGCCUAAUACAUGCAAGUAGAACGCUGAAGAGGGGAGCUUGCUCUUCUUGGAUGAGUUGCGAACGGGUGAGUAACGCGUAGGUAACCUGCCUUGUAGCGGGGGAUAACUAUUGGAAACGAUAGCUAAUACCGCAUAACAAUGGAUGACACAUGUCAUUUAUUUGAAAGGGGCAAUUGCUCCACUACAAGAUGGACCUGCGUUGUAUUAGCUAGUAGGUGAGGUAACGGCUCACCUAGGCGACGAUACAUAGCCGACCUGAGAGGGUGAUCGGCCACACUGGGACUGAGACACGGCCCAGACUCCUACGGGAGGCAGCAGUAGGGAAUCUUCGGCAAUGGGGGCAACCCUGACCGAGCAACGCCGCGGGAGUGAAGAAGGUUUUCGGAUCGUAAAGCUCUGUUGUAAGUCAAGAACGAGUGUGAGAGUGGAAAGUUCACACUGUGACGGUAGCUUACCAGAAAGGGACGGCUAACUACGUG